AUACGGAGGAUCCGAGCGUUAUCCGGAUUUAUUGGGUUUAAAGGGUGCGCAGGCGGCCAUUUAAGUCAGCGGUGAAAGUUUGUCGCUCAACGAUAAAAUUGCCGUUGAUACUGGUUUACUUGAGUAUAGUUGAAGUAGGCGGAAUGCGUGGUGUAGCGGUGAAAUGCAUAGAUAUCACGCAGAACUCCGAUUGCGAAGGCAGCUUACUAAGUUAUAACUGACUCUGAAGCACGAAAGCGUGGGUAUCAAACAGGAUUAGAUACCCUGGUAGUCCACGCAGUAAACGAUGAUUACUAGCUUUUUGCGAUAUACAGUAUGUGGCACAGCGAAAGCGUUAAGUAAUCCACCUGGGGAGUACGCCGGCAACGGUGAAACUCAAAGGAAUUGACGUGG
RNAcentral lists this ribosomal RNA (393 nucleotides) under uncultured bacterium. RNAcentral's name for it is "partial 16S ribosomal RNA". It matches the Rfam family "Bacterial small subunit ribosomal RNA", at positions 523 to 918 of the family's 1533-position model. The record is from RNAcentral.